AGAGUUUGAUCCUGGCUCAGGACGAACGCUGGCGGCGUGCCUAACACAUGCAAGUGGAGCGACGAACCAGGCUUCGGCCUGGGGCAAAGCCGCGAACGGGUGAGUAACACGUGGGUAACCUGCCCUGAUGAUCGGGACAACCCGAGGAAACUCGGGCUAAUACCGAAUGUGCCCUCCUGCCAUAAGGCAGCUGGGGAAAGGAAGCUUCGGCCUCCGCAUCGGGAUGGGCCCGCGGCCCAUUAGCUUGUUGGUGAGGUAACGGCUCACCAAGGCUGCGAUGGGUAGCUGGUCUGAGAGGACGAUCAGCCACACUGGGACUGAGACACGGCCCAGACUCCUACGGGAGGCAGCAGUGGGGAAUCUUGCGCAAUGCGCGAAAGCGUGACGCAGCAACGCCGCGUGGGUGAAGAAGGCCUUCGGGUUGUAAAGCCCUUUCAGUUGGGACGAAGCUCCGUCGGUGAAUAGCCGACCGGAGUGACGGUACCUUCAGAAGAAGCCCCGGCUAACUACGUGCCAGCAGCCGCGGUAAUACGUAGGGGGCAAGCGUUGUCCGGAAUCAUUGGGCGUAAAGAGCGUGUAGGUGGCUCGGUAAGUCCGCUGUAAAAGUCCAGGGCUCAACCCUGGAAAGCCGGUGGAAACUGUCGAGCUAGAGUCCGGAAGAGGCGAGUGGAAUUCCUGGUGUAGCGGUGAAAUGCGCAGAUAUCAGAGGAACACCAAUGGCGAAGCAGCUCGCUGGGACGGUACUGACACUGAGACGCGAAAGCGUGGGGAGCAAACAGGAUUAGAUACCCNNGUAGUCC
RNAcentral lists this ribosomal RNA (800 nucleotides) under uncultured bacterium. Its description in RNAcentral is "bacterial SSU rRNA". It matches the Rfam family "Bacterial small subunit ribosomal RNA", at positions 8 to 796 of the family's 1533-position model. The record is from RNAcentral.